RNAcentral lists this ribosomal RNA (1186 nucleotides) under uncultured fungus. RNAcentral's name for it is "eukaryotic LSU rRNA". The stretch from base 535 to 1186 matches the Rfam family "Eukaryotic large subunit ribosomal RNA", at positions 1 to 667 of the family's 3401-position model. The record is from RNAcentral. Lineage: Eukaryota; Fungi.
CUUGGUCAUUUAGAGGAAGUAAAAGUCGUAACAAGGUUUCCGUAGGUGAACCUGCGGAAGGAUCAUUAAAGAAUCGCCCCGUUUUUUGAAAUGGGUUCUAUUCCUAAACCGUGUAUACAUACCUUUGUUGCUUUGGCGGGCCGCCUUCGGGCGUUGGCUCCGGCUAACUGCGCCCGCCAGAGGACCCAAACUCGUUUGUUUAGUGAUGUCUGAGUACUAUAUAAUAGUUAAAACUUUCAACAACGGAUCUCUUGGUUCUGGCAUCGAUGAAGAACGCAGCGAAAUGCGAUAAGUAAUGUGAAUUGCAGAAUUCAGUGAAUCAUCGAAUCUUUGAACGCACAUUGCGCCCCUUGGUAUUCCGAGGGGCAUGCCUGUUCGAGCGUCAUUAUAACCACUCAAGCGUAUGCUUGGUCUUGGGGUUCGCGGUCCGCGGCCCUUAAAAUCAGUGGCGGUGCCAUCUGGCUCUAAGCGUAGUAAUUUCCUCGCUAUAGUGUCCGGGUGGUUGCUUGCUCUAAUCCCCCAAUUUUUUACGGUUGACCUCGGAUCAGGUAGGGAUACCCGCUGAACUUAAGCAUAUCAAUAAGCGGAGGAAAAGAAACCAACAGGGAUUGCCUCAGUAACGGCGAGUGAAGCGGCAACAGCUCAAAUUUGAAAUCUGGCUCUUUCAGGGUCCGAGUUGUAAUUUGUAGAAGAUGCUUUGGGUGUAGCUCCGGUCUAAGUUCCUUGGAACAGGACGUCAUAGAGGGUGAGAAUCCCGUACGUGACUGGGUGCUUUCGCUCGUGUAAAGCUCUUUCGACGAGUCGAGUUGUUUGGGAAUGCAGCUCAAAAUGGGUGGUAAAUUUCAUCUAAAGCUAAAUAUUGGCCAGAGACCGAUAGCGCACAAGUAGAGUGAUCGAAAGAUGAAAAGCACUUUGGAAAGAGAGUUAAACAGUACGUGAAAUUGUUGAAAGGGAAGCGCUUGCAAUCAGACUUGCGCGCUGUUGAUCAUCCGAGCUUUUGCCCGGUGCACUCGGCAGCGUUCAGGCCAGCAUCGGUUUUGGUGGGCGGAUAAAGGCCUUGGGAAUGUAGCUUCUUUCGGGGAGUGUUAUAGCCCUCGGUGCAAUGCGCCCUACCGGGACCGAGGACCGCGCUUCGGCUAGGAUGCUGGCGUAAUGGUUGUAAGCGACCCGUCUUGAAACACGGACC